AAUUUUUUGUAGUUAUUAGCAAGAAAGUGUACCUGACAUAAAGAUGAUGGGAGUUUAUUUAUUUUAUGAAGUUUUUCACAUACAAACCUUUAUCAGAUUGUUAUACCGAUCCUGGGAAAUGAGGAAAAGAGAAACUAAAAAUCCAGAA
This is a non-coding RNA of Vicugna pacos (alpaca), 148 nucleotides long. The record is from RefSeq and is a predicted model, not a curated record. NCBI's taxonomy places the organism in Eukaryota, Metazoa, Chordata, Mammalia, Artiodactyla, Camelidae.